UACACAUGCAGUCGUACGAGAAUUUAUAUUUUAAAUUUAAGUGGCGGACGGGUGAGUAACACGUGAGAAUUUACCUUUAGGUUGGGGAUAACAACCGGAAACAGUUGCUAAUACCCGUAGUGGCCGUAACGGUUAAAGAUUAAAUUCGCCUAGAGAAAAGCUCGCGGCUGAUUAGCUUGUUGGUAAGGUAAUGGCUUACCAAGGCGACGAUCAGUAUCUGGUUUGAGAGGAUGAUCAGACACACUGGAACUGAGACACGGUCCAGACUCCUACGGGAGGCAGCAGUGGGGAAUUUUCCGCAAUGGGCGAAAGCCUGACGGAGCAAUACCGCGUGAGGGAUUGACUGCCUACGGGUUGUAAACCUCUUUUUUCAGGGAGGAAUAAUUGACGUUACCUGAAGAAUAAGCAUCGGCUAACUCCGUGCCAGCAGCCGCGGUAAGACGGAGGAUGCAAGUGUUAUCCGGAAUUACUGGGCGUAAAGCGUCUGUAGGUGGUUUAUUAAGUCAAUUGUUAAAUCUUGGAGCUUAACUUCAAAAUUGCAGUCGAAACUAAUAUACUUGAGUAUAGUAUAGGUAAAGGGAAUUUCCAGUGGAGCGGUGAAAUGUGUAGAGAUUGGAAAGAACACCAAUAGCGAAAGCACUUUACUGGGCUAUUACUGACACUCAGAGACGAAAGCUAGGGUAGCAAAUGGGAUUAGAUACCCCAGUAGUCCUAGCUGUAAACUAUGGAUACU
Molecule: ribosomal RNA, 733 nt
Filed under: uncultured bacterium
Lineage: Bacteria
Description: bacterial SSU rRNA
Rfam family: Bacterial small subunit ribosomal RNA
Source: RNAcentral